RNAcentral lists this transfer RNA (82 nucleotides) under Echinostoma caproni. It matches the Rfam family "tRNA". Rfam says of the family: Transfer RNA (tRNA) molecules are approximately 80 nucleotides in length. The record is from Rfam by way of RNAcentral. Lineage: Eukaryota; Metazoa; Platyhelminthes; Trematoda; Plagiorchiida; Echinostomatidae.
AGCCUCGCAGCUCAGCUGGUAGAGCGUGCGCAUACAAAGCGUAGGCGGCGUCCAUGCGAGGGUUCAAAACCCACAGAGGCUA